CUUAAGGGCGGGGAUUCUGCCUCUGGCACUUAGUGCAGUACGAUGCACGUAGUGAGAGACCAGGAAAUUCAGCAACAGAAUCACUGACAGAACAGGUCUAGAAGGAGAUCAUCACAAACUAAACAGGACCCCAAUGGCCAUGAACAGCAGAACCCGCUUAACUGCUGCCUGAAACGUAUUCAAAGAGAUGAAAGUACAGAAGAGUUCUAGCCUAAAGCCCAACAGCAACCGUGGAGAGUCCAGGAACCAACUCAUCAGCCCUGUCAGAGCUCAUCAAAGAUGAGAUGUCUUCCAAUUGUGGUGAGGUUCAUGAUUGUCUUGAAAACCAAAACACAGCCGAAAACAAAGACCACAGAGAAAAGUAUGGCAGCUGAGCAAGCUGUGAACUGUUCCUGUUCAGAAACCUCCUGCAGGUUAACCAGAGUUGGAGCCUAAUUCCAUCACUUAUAAAAGUGGAGCUGCUUCAGACCUUUCCGAGGAGCAGGAAGUGUAAUGGCCAGGUCAAAAAUCCCAGUUCUAAAACUGCCCAGACCUUGGGCAAAGAAAUUACUUAAUAUCUCAGAACCUAGUUCUCUCAUCUAUAAGAUGAAAUUAUUAAUGUAACAAUAUGUAUUCUUAUAGGAUUGCUGUAAGAAUUAAAUAGUGGUACAAUAUGCUAAAUGUUUGCUAUUAUGUAU
RNAcentral lists this long non-coding RNA (677 nucleotides) under Homo sapiens (human). Its description in RNAcentral is "HSALNT0101942". The record is from RNAcentral. Lineage: Eukaryota; Metazoa; Chordata; Mammalia; Primates; Hominidae.